GGGGAUGUGGCUCAGGCGGUAGCGCGCUCGCCUAGCAUGCGUGCGGCCCGGGUUCGAUCCUCAGCAGCACCA
Ictidomys tridecemlineatus (thirteen-lined ground squirrel) is the source of this 72-nucleotide non-coding RNA. Lineage: Eukaryota; Metazoa; Chordata; Mammalia; Rodentia; Sciuridae. The record is from Rfam.